Molecule: non-coding RNA, 47 nt
Organism: Lucilia cuprina (Australian sheep blowfly)
Lineage: Eukaryota; Metazoa; Arthropoda; Insecta; Diptera; Calliphoridae
Source: Rfam
AAAAAGGUCCUUUUAAGGGCCAUAAAAUGUCAAAAAGAGAAAAACAU